This 1014-nucleotide ribosomal RNA is filed under the name uncultured Bacillota bacterium. Its description in RNAcentral is "bacterial SSU rRNA". It matches the Rfam family "Bacterial small subunit ribosomal RNA", at positions 361 to 1368 of the family's 1533-position model. Lineage: Bacteria; Bacillati; Bacillota. The record is from RNAcentral.
AUCUUCCGCAAUGGACGCAAGUCUGACGGAGCAACGCCGCGUGAGUGAUGACGGUUUUCGGACUGUAAAACUCUGUCUGGUGGGAAGAACGGGCUAUAGGGAUAUAGUCGUGACGGUACCGCCGAAGGAAGCCCCGGCUAACUACGUGCCAGCAGCCGCGGUAAUACGUAGGGGGCGAGCGUUGUCCGGAAUUAUUGGGCGUAAAGAGCACGUAGGCGGUUUACCAAGUCAGUUGUGAAAACCCGGGGCUCAACUCCGGGACGGCAAAUGAAACUGGUAGGCUUGAGGACAGGAGAGGAGAGUGGAAUUCCUAGUGUAGCGGUGAAAUGCGUAGAUAUUAGGAGGAACACCAGUGGCGAAGGCGACUCUCUGGCCUGUAACUGACGCUGAGGUGCGAAAGCUAGGGGAGCGAACGGGAUUAGAUACCCCGGUAGUCCUAGCCGUAAACGAUGGGCACUAGGUGUAGGAGGUAUCGACCCCUCCUGUGCCGCAGCUAACGCAUUAAGUGCCCCGCCUGGGGAGUACGGCCGCAAGGUUGAAACUCAAAGGAAUUGACGGGGGCCCGCACAAGCAGUGGAGCAUGUGGUUUAAUUCGACGCAACGCGAAGAACCUUACCAGGGUUUGACAUCUCCUGGAGACAUAUGAAAGUAUGUUGGCCUCCUUCGGGAGGACAGGAAGACAGGUGGUGCAUGGUUGUCGUCAGCUCGUGUCGUGAGAUGUUGGGUUAAGUCCCGCAACGAGCGCAACCCCUGUUCUUUGUUGCUAGCAGGUAGAGCUGAGCACUCAAAGGAGACUGCCGGAGACAAUUCAGAGGAAGGUGGGGAUGACGUCAAAUCAUCAUGCCCUUUAUGCCCUGGGCUACACACGUGCUACAAUGGUCUGUACAACGGGACGCGAAGGGGUGACCCGGAGCCAAUCCUCAGAAAACAGAUCUCAGUUCGGAUUGCAGGCUGCAACCCGCCUGCAUGAAGCUGGAAUUGCUAGUAAUCGCGGAUCAGCAUGCCGCGGGAAUA